This is a long non-coding RNA of Myotis davidii, 712 nucleotides long. RefSeq lists it as uncharacterized. Lineage: Eukaryota; Metazoa; Chordata; Mammalia; Chiroptera; Vespertilionidae. The transcript is spliced from 3 exons. The record is from RefSeq and is a predicted model, not a curated record.
UCACUUCCUCUCCAAACAUAAGCAACAGCCAGCAUCUCUGCCAAGUCUCGGCAAUGGGCCUGCCGGUCCGGAGCUCGGUUCCCGGGGACAGCGCCUGGUUCCCUGGCUGCUGGAGCUCCACCAGCCAGCCUCACCCAGAUGGGGAGUCAUGUCCACACAGGAGCCACUUCCAAGCGGCAGAACCAGGCUCCGAGGCCACCUCGCUUUCUGCAGGAAAUCCAAGGGAACCGAGCGCCUGCUAAGCAGCACAGGGAUAAAAACUGCUUUCCACAAACCAAGAGUCGGAGGGUUUUUGAAGUUAAGGAGGCAAAACAUGAGUGCAAAACAAGCAAGUACAGGUCCCACCGCCUGGCAACCGUGACAGGGUGCCCGGUGGGUUUCAGGUAUGUGACCACUCCGGUAAGUCAGGGGACAGCCAAGCGGGUUCGAAAGUGUUCCGGGGCAAUCGCUUCUCCGGAGCCAAGACGCUGAAUCAGAGGGGAGAAGGAAUGAAAACAGCUAUAAAAUCAUCUGAGUGAUUUACAUACAUGACAUCAUUUAAUCCUCACAACCCCAAUCUACAGGUAAGAAAACUGACACUGUAUGGAUCUGGCCAAAGUCCCAAAGCUAGCAGGUGGCAGAGGCUGCAUCCAAAGCACAGUCCUUCACCAUGAGAUUUUACUGUGAGAUUCACAUUAAUAUAUAGGUCCCUUCAUAAAUAUCAGUAUUUACA